This 334-nucleotide unclassified non-coding RNA is filed under the name soil metagenome. RNAcentral describes it as "partial contains 5.8S ribosomal RNA, internal transcribed spacer 2, and large subunit ribosomal RNA". The stretch from base 1 to 120 matches the Rfam family "5.8S ribosomal RNA", at positions 35 to 154 of the family's 154-position model. The record is from RNAcentral.
GAUGAGGAACGCAGCGAAAUGCGAUAAGUAAUGUGAAUUGCAGAAUUCAGUGAAUCAUCGAAUCUUUGAACGCACAUUGCGCCCGCCAGUAUUCUGGCGAGCAUGCCUGUUCGAGCGUCAUUUCAACCAUCAAGCCCCAGGCUUGUGUUGGAGCCCUGCGGCUGCCGCAGCCUCCCAAAACCAGUGGCGGGCUCGCUAUCACACCGAGUGCAGUAGUUUACUCUUCGCUCAGGGCGUGUGGCGGGUGCUAGCCGUGAAACCCCCAACUUCUCAAGGUUGACCUCGGAUCAGGUAGGAAUACCCGCUGAACUUAAGCAUAUCAAUAAGCGGAGGA